UACGGAGGGUGCGAGCGUUGUUCGGAAUUACUGGGCGUAAAGCGCGCGUAGGCGGCUCUUCAAGUCAGGCGUGAAAGCCCCGGGCUUAACCCGGGAAUAGCGCUUGAUACUGUUGGGCUUGAGUCCGGGAGAGGAUAGUGGAAUUCCCAGUGUAGAGGUGAAAUUCGUAGAUAUUGGGAAGAACACCAGUGGCGAAGGCGGCUAUCUGGACCGGAACUGACGCUGAGGCGCGAAAGCGUGGGGAGCAAACAGG
This 253-nucleotide ribosomal RNA is filed under the name uncultured bacterium. Its description in RNAcentral is "partial 16S ribosomal RNA". It matches the Rfam family "Bacterial small subunit ribosomal RNA", at positions 524 to 776 of the family's 1533-position model. The record is from RNAcentral.